Cercocebus atys (sooty mangabey) is the source of this 3309-nucleotide long non-coding RNA. RefSeq lists it as uncharacterized. The transcript is spliced from 3 exons. The record is from RefSeq and is a predicted model, not a curated record. Lineage: Eukaryota; Metazoa; Chordata; Mammalia; Primates; Cercopithecidae.
UCGGACUCCUGAGCUCAAGCAUUCCUCUCACUUCGGCCUCCUGAAGUGCCACAGGUGUGAGCAGCCAUGCCCAGCUAUAGCCUCGGUGUCUUCAUCUGAAAAAGAAGAUGACAACACCCACUUUGUGGUGCUGUUGUCAGGCUCUAAUAAGCUGAAUACUCUAAGACGUGCAGCUUUCCAAACCAGAACCCUUAGAGACAUUCCUGGAAAUCUUUGGAAAUGGAAUGAAGAGAAGACUGUUCUUAACCUGUGGUAACAGCCCUGGGGAAGGGGACUUGGAGCCGUCAGCAGCCAUGUUCCUGGCUGUGUGGACAAGGUGCUAUGAUGAAUUGCUGUCCUCACUCAACCAACCCAGGACCACCGGGAACAAAGCCUACUCUUACAAAGCCUACAAAGUGAUGUUCAUUGACACAUUGCAGAGACCACACACCAGCAGAACCAUAGGGUAUCUCCCCAAACAAAGGAAAAGAAAAGAAUUACAGUACGGGGCAUGGGGAAGAGUGGAAUUUAAGCGAAAUGUAUUUUGACAGACUCAAAGCAAGGUAGGUCUAAAUGUAAAGGUAUCAUCCUAAGUUCUGGACUAUGAAGCAGUUUGCUGGGAACAAAUGGAACAAAUGGAACACUAUGAAGUGUUUGCUGGGAAGCAAUAAGACUAUUAUCCAUAGCCGUGGGCUACUGUGUCCAGAAACCCCUCCUCCAAAGCUCUCUCCCUAGGGUUUAAAUCAAGGCUACUUCUCUCUCAGUGACUUAGAUCCUCCAGGCAAGGGUGAGAUAUUUCACUCUAACAUCAUUUCAAACAGCAGUGUUUCUGAUAGUCUAGGAUUUUAGAGAAAAAAGGUUUCUCAGUGAGUCAGAAGACACUACUCACUCCAAGAAGGGGGUUUUUGUGACCCUUUACCACUACAGCAUGCCCCUUGCGAGAAAUAUUAUUUAUUGUUAACUUUGAAUCUGGUUUUCUCUUUUAUUCCAGCCUGAUGAAUGCCCAAGGAAGAUUUUAAUAGUCCAGGCUAAUUUUUACUUUCUUUCGUCUCAAUGGGGGUGACAGACAAUCAGGUCAUUACAACACAGUGGGAGAAGCAGCUAUGAUGAGGGUUUAAUUUAGACUUCAUUUAGGUCAGGGAAGACUGUCUGCAGGAGGCAGAACUCCCAGCUGGGAAAAGCAGAAGCUGCCCCAACGAAAGUGGGAAGGGGUGUUACAGCACAGUCAGGACUUGGGCAGAGGCACAAGAGUGGGGCACAGGGUGGUAAAUUGGAGGAAUCACAAGUGUCAUUGAAGACGAAUCAACAGAAUGUCUAGAAUGCUGGGGAGGACUGCAUAACACAGUUAAUCAAAACUGACACCAAACUCUUCUCUGGCUAAGGUUAGAAAGCACUGGUCACCGGGAGUGUGUGUUCUCUGUUCAGGGGAGAGUCGUUAGCAUGGUCUUCCUAUGCACAUACAUGUGAAAGGCAAGUAGCCCCCAGAGGGGAAGUGCUAAGGGGGAGUUCCCCUGAGGUUUCCUAAGGCACCUGGUUUGCAAAACUGAUCCCUGUAUGGAAAGUGGAGCCAUUUGUAGACUUGCCCUGAACCAUCCCAUCCUGUUUCCUGAGAACAUUUAGGGAAUCAGGCUGGCCUUUGACCAAUGCUGAGUUUCAGGAAAGGGCGAGAACAACCAAGAAAUAAAACUGCCAUGAAGACACAGGGUGUUCCUGAGAACUGGAUAUACCAGUGGGUGGUAUCAUUCAAGGUCCUGGGAGGGAACAGACUGCACAGUGAAACCGGAUAGUCCUCUUUCUUGUCUCUUCACUGGCCAAAACCGAUCAGGAACAGAGGGCAAGUAGGGCAAGGAUUUAAUUGGUUCAGGUGGACCUGGGCAUCGGUGGUCAUGUAGCUCUGCAGAGCACUGCGGUGUGUGGUCAGCACUGAGGGGGCCUCUCUUCCCUGGCCAAACCCAGUCAAGAACAGAGGGCAAGGAGGGCUGCCAAGGCUGUCCCUGGAGGUCAGCCUCCAGGACAGGGAGCAAGGUGGAAAAGGGAGAACGGUGGAUUUGGAGGGACAAAGUAGGAAGUUCUAGAACAGGGGCUCAUGCUAAGGCCUCUUUCUGACUUGUUCACCUUGGCACAGAGGUUUUUCUCUGCAAAACAACAGCUGGAUUUGGGAAAGUGAGAUAAAAGGGGUUGUCAUUUACAGCACAGCAGGGGAACAGCAGACCCUAGCACUGUGGACCUGAUGUCCUCAACAAACUGCCACCUUUGGAGACAGGUGCUAGAAAGCAUUUAAAAUUACUUACUAGUUUUAACUUAUAUUAUUUAAAAUGAUUUCUUAUUGAAUUUAAAAAAUUAAUGAGUGUCCACGUCGGCACCCUUUGUUAGAGAAGCAGAUCAUGUUAGAGGGGUGACAGCCAAGUCUGGAACCCGAAGCAAGUCUGGAAGGACACGAGUGUCAGGUGGAGACUUGAUCCUGAGGGCAGUGUGGACCUGGAGGGCCUCCAGCAGGGAGUAGCAUGUGGUACUGGCUGCUUUUGCUAGAUUAUUGCUGUGAUAGGCAAACCCCUGCCCCUUCCCUUACAUUACCAGGAAGAAUUGCAUAUUAAUUCUGCUGUCACCUGACUCCCUUGCCCAGAUGGGGAAGACAACUGUUAAGCACUAGGGAUGAAAAGGAGAAGAAAAGAAAGGGGAGUCAGAAAACAGGGACAAAAAACAGUACUUGCUUUUCAAGUUUGAGCCUUCAAGAUACCGGUUGGAGAACUAGAAAAUCUUGUUUCCAGGCAUCACAUUCUUCAGUUCCUCUGCAUUUUUCUAAGCUUUGGAGGAAUGUAUAAACUGGUUUCCAAAAAUGUCCUGUGUUUUCUUUCAACAAAACUAUUGAACACCUGCUAUGUGUCAGGUCUCAAGAGAACAACAGAGAAGAAAACGUGGGCUGCCCGAGAGCCCCUGACAGCCUUGCAGAGCCACAGAUACAUGCGCAGUUAUUUGCAAGUGUAUGGCUGAGCCUCUAAAACAAUGCAGGCCAUGUUUUAGACCAAAGAAAAGGAUAGCUAGCAUUAUUAUAGGUGCAUAAAAUUGAGUAAAUUAUAGACCAUGUUUCAUGGUGCUUAUCAUCAUUAGCCUGUUUUAUUUUUUACAAUUCAAUUCCCACUUAUGUUUCUCCCCAUAGACAUCCACUUUGAUGGACUUAAUAAGUAUCCUUGGAUAGGUUGGUAUUUUAUAGGAUCUUUAUAAAAUCAUACAGACAUGAUGUCACGCCAUAGAUCUUAAUCUGCCGCUUCUUUCACUCAACACUAAUUUUUUUAUUAUUUUAAGUUAUGGGGUACAUGUGCAGAACGUGCA